AACGAACGCUGGCGGCAUGCCUAACACAUGCAAGUCGAACGAGACCUUCGGGUCUAGUGGCGCACGGGUGCGUAACGCGUGGGAACCUGCCCUUAGGUUCGGAAUAACUCCCCGAAAGGGGUGCUAAUACCGGAUAAUGUCUUCGGACCAAAGAUUUAUCGCCUUUGGAUGGGCCCGCUUUGGAUUAGCUAGUUGGUAGGGUAAAAGCCUACCAAGGCGACGAUCCAUAGCUGGUCUGAGAGGAUGAUCAGCCACACUGGGACUGAGACACGGCCCAGACUCCUACGGGAGGCAGCAGUGGGGAAUAUUGGACAAUGGGCGAAAGCCUGAUCCAGCAAUGCCGCGUGAGUGAUGAAGGCCUUAGGGUUGUAAAGCUCUUUUACCCGGGAUGAUAAUGACAGUACCGGGAGAAUAAGCUCCGGCUAACUCCGUG
RNAcentral lists this ribosomal RNA (433 nucleotides) under uncultured bacterium. Its description in RNAcentral is "partial 16S ribosomal RNA". It matches the Rfam family "Bacterial small subunit ribosomal RNA", at positions 29 to 507 of the family's 1533-position model. The record is from RNAcentral.